GACGAACCGUGCGAACGUUAUUCGGAAUCAUUGGGCUUAAAGAGCGCGUAGGCGGCGUCGUAAGUUGGAGGUGAAAUCCCAUCGGCUCAACCGUGGAACUGCCCCCAAUACUGCGGCGCUUGAGGGAGGUAGGGGCAUGUGGAACUUCCAGUGGAGCGGUGAAAUGUGUUGAGAUUGGAAGGAACGCCAGUGGCGAAAGCGACAUGCUGGAUCUCUUCUGACGCUGAGGCGCGAAAGCUAGGGGAGCGAACGGG
Molecule: ribosomal RNA, 254 nt
Filed under: uncultured bacterium
Lineage: Bacteria
Description: partial 16S ribosomal RNA
Rfam family: Bacterial small subunit ribosomal RNA
Source: RNAcentral